CUUUCUUGCGGUUUCUUAUCUGCGGUGAAAAAGACAUGAGUUUGAGUGGCAAGAUCCGUAAAGUUUGCAAUAGGAAUAGGCCCUCUGCUGUGGUGGAAUCUGUGAAGGGUGCUAACAGGAGGGAAGAGGCAGAAGCCGAGAAGGAAUCUCUUUUGCCUGCAGAAGAGAGUGGAGGAGUGGCGACCGGUAGGAGGAAGAAGGGCUCGGCGAGGAACGUCCAGUGGAAUGAUUGCAAAGGCGACAAUCUGGUGGAGGUUUUGGAAUUCCAGCCCAGUGAUUCAAGCGACUCUGAGGAUGAGUAUUUGGAUUCUUGUUUGUGCACCAUUAUGUAAAUCUUCUGCACAGAUUACAUCGUUUCUGCAGUAGAAGUAUUCAAUACCAACAGAUUGUGGGAGGCUCUGAUCACAGAAUACAUAGUCUGCAUGCUUGCUCACUAUUUAUUUAGUUGAUGUAGUGGAAAAUCUUGAGGAUGACCUUUAUUAUUGCUCGACUUGAAAGUGUUGCUGCCAAUCAAAGAGAGAAUCUUUCUUGACAUUUUAAACUUGUUUUGUCAGAAGAAUUAUGCACAUUCCAUACUUGAAAGUGUUGCUGCCAAUCAAAGAGAGAAUCUUUCUGUUAUUA
RNA transcript from Musa acuminata AAA Group (dessert banana), 621 nucleotides. RefSeq lists it as uncharacterized. The transcript is spliced from 2 exons. The record is from RefSeq and is a predicted model, not a curated record. NCBI's taxonomy places the organism in Eukaryota, Viridiplantae, Streptophyta, Magnoliopsida, Zingiberales, Musaceae.